Molecule: ribosomal RNA, 497 nt
Filed under: uncultured bacterium
Lineage: Bacteria
Description: partial 16S ribosomal RNA
Rfam family: Bacterial small subunit ribosomal RNA
Source: RNAcentral
GAUGAACGCUGGCGGCGUGCCUAACACAUGCAAGUCGAGCGAACGCACCGGAAGCUUGCGCUCCUGAGGGUGGCGGGGGGCGGACGGGUAACACGUGGAUCACCUACCUCUAAGACUGGGGUAAUAACGGGAGACAAGAGCUAAUACUGGCUGAUAUUUCGAACCGGAUGGUUCAAAAGUUCAAGACGGUCUUUCUGUCAGUAAUAGCCGAUGUCGCCGUGGAUUAGCUAGUUGGUAAGGUAACGGCUAACCAAGGCUACGAUGCAUAGCCGGUCUGAUAGGGUGAUCGGCCACACUGGAACUGAGACACGGUCCAGACUCCUACGGGAGGCAGCAGUAGGGAAUCUUCCGCAAUGGGCGAAAGCCUGACCGAGCAACACCGCGUGAGUGAUGAAGGUCUUCGGAUCGUAAAGCUCUGUUGUUAGGAGAGAACAUAAGCGUAUUUAACUGUGCACAUCUUGACGGUACCUAAACAAAAAGCCCCGGCUAACUACGUG